CUACGGGCGGCAGCAGCUAAGAAUCUUCCGCAAUGGGCGAAAGCCUGACGGGGCGACGCCGCGUGGGUGAAGAAGGCCGAGAGGUUGUAAAGCCCUUUUCUGUCUGAGGAAUAAGCCUGGGAGGGAAUGCCCGGGUGAUGACGGUAAGACAGGAAUAAGCCCCGGCUAAUUACGUGCCAGCAGCCGCGGUAACACGUAUGGGGCGAGCGUUGUUCGGAAUCAUUGGGCGUAAAGGGCGCGUAGGCGGAGAUGCAAGUCUGGUGUGAAAUACCGCAGCUUAACUGCGGGACCGCGCUGGAAACUGCAUAUCUUGAGUUCCGGAGGGGGAGUUGGAAUUCCUGGUGUAGGGGUGAAAUCUGCUGAUAUCAGGAAGAACACCGGUGGCGAAGGCGAACUCCUGGACGGAAACUGACGCUGAGGCGCGAAAGCGUGGGGAGCGAACAGGAUUAGAUACCCGUGUAGUC
RNAcentral lists this ribosomal RNA (464 nucleotides) under uncultured bacterium. Its description in RNAcentral is "partial 16S ribosomal RNA". It matches the Rfam family "Bacterial small subunit ribosomal RNA", at positions 339 to 795 of the family's 1533-position model. The record is from RNAcentral.